This 468-nucleotide ribosomal RNA is filed under the name uncultured bacterium. Its description in RNAcentral is "partial 16S ribosomal RNA". It matches the Rfam family "Bacterial small subunit ribosomal RNA", at positions 28 to 507 of the family's 1533-position model. The record is from RNAcentral.
GACGAACGCUGGCGGCGUGCUUAACACAUGCAAGUCGAACGGAAAGGCCCUGCUUUUGUGGGGUGCUCGAGUGGCGAACGGGUGAGUAACACGUGAGUAACCUGCCCUUGACUUUGGGAUAACUUCAAGAAACUGGGGCUAAUACCGGAUAGGAGCUCCUGCUGCAUGGUGGGGGUUGGAAAGUUUCGGCGGUUGGGGAUGGACUCGCGGCUUAUCAGCUUGUUGGUGGGGUAGUGGCUUACCAAGGCUUUGACGGGUAGCCGGCCUGAGGGGGUGACCGGCCACAUUGGGACUGAGAUACGGCCCAGACUCCUACGGGAGGCAGCAGUGGGGAAUAUUGCACAAUGGGCGGAAGCCUGAUGCAGCAACGCCGCGUGCGGGAUGACGGCCUUCGGGUUGUAAACCGCUUUCGCCUGUGACGAAGCGUGAGUGACGGUAAUGGGUAAAGAAGCACCGGCUAACUACGUG